UACAGAGGCCCCAAGCGUUUGUCGGAAUCACUGGGCUUAAAGGGUGCGUAGGCGGGUUCGUAAGUAUCUUGUGAAAGCCCUCGGCUCAACCGGGGAACAGCAAGGUAUACUGCGAGUCUUGAGGAAGCUAGAGGCCGGCGGAACGAUCGGUGGAGCGGUGGAAUGCGUAGAGAUCGAUCGGAACGCCAAGGGUGAAGACAGCCGGCUAGAGCUUUCCUGACGCUGAGGCACGAAAGCGUGGGGAUCAAACAGG
This 253-nucleotide ribosomal RNA is filed under the name uncultured bacterium. Its description in RNAcentral is "partial 16S ribosomal RNA". It matches the Rfam family "Bacterial small subunit ribosomal RNA", at positions 524 to 776 of the family's 1533-position model. The record is from RNAcentral.